GACGAACGCUGGCGGCGUGCUUAACACAUGCAAGUCGAACGGAAAGGCCCUGCUUUUGUGGGGUUCUCGAGUGGCGAACGGGUGAGUAACACGUGAGUAGCCUACCCUUGACUUUGGGGUAACUUCAGGAAACUAGGGCUAAUACCGGAUAGGAGCUCCUGCUGCAUGGUGGGGGUUGGAAAGUUUCGGCGGUUGGGGAUGGACUCGCGGGUUAUCAGCUUGUUGGUGGGGGAGUGGCUUACCAAGGCUGUGACGGGUAGCCGGCCUGGGAGGGUGACCGGCGACAUUGGGACUGAGGUACGGACCAGACUGCUACGGGAGGCAGCAGUGGGGAAUAUUACACAAUGGUCGGAAGCCUGAUGCAGCGACGCCGCGUGCGGGAUGAAGGCCUUCGGGUUGUAAACCGAUUUCGCCUGUGACGAAGCGUGAGUGACGGUAAUGGGUAAAGAAGCACCGGCUAACUACGUG
Molecule: ribosomal RNA, 468 nt
Filed under: uncultured bacterium
Lineage: Bacteria
Description: partial 16S ribosomal RNA
Rfam family: Bacterial small subunit ribosomal RNA
Source: RNAcentral